CCUACGGGAGGCAGCAGUGAGGAAUAUUGGUCAAUGGUCGCAAGACUGAACCAGCCAUGCCGCGUGCAGGAUGAAGUAUCUAUGGUGUGUAAACUGCUUUUGUACGGGAAGAAACACCCCUUCGUGAAGGGGCUUGACGGUACCGUAAGAAUAAGGAUCGGCUAACUCCGUGCCAGCAGCCGCGGUAAUACGGAGGAUCCGAGCGUUAUCCGGAAUCAUUGGGUUUAAAGGGUCCGUAGGCGGUUUUGUAAGUCAGUGGUGAAAUCCGGCAGCUCAACUGUCGAACUGCCAUUGAUACUGCAGGACUUGAAUUACUGUGAAGUAACUAGAAUAUGUAGUGUAGCGGUGAAAUGCUUAGAUAUUACAUGGAAUACCAAUUGCGAAGGCAGGUUACUAACAUUAUAUUGACGCUGAUGGACGAAAGCGUGGGGAGCGAACAGGAUUAGAUACCCCGGUAGUC
Molecule: ribosomal RNA, 460 nt
Filed under: uncultured Flavobacterium sp.
Lineage: Bacteria; Pseudomonadati; Bacteroidota; Flavobacteriia; Flavobacteriales; Flavobacteriaceae
Description: bacterial SSU rRNA
Rfam family: Bacterial small subunit ribosomal RNA
Source: RNAcentral